CCAGGGCUACACACGUACUACAAUGGUAGGGACAGAGGGCUGCAAACCCGCGAGGGUAAGCCAAUCCCAGAAACCCUAUCUCAGUCCGGAUUGGAGUCUGCAACUCGACUCCAUGAAGUCGGAAUCGCUAGUAAUCGCAGAUCAGCAUUGCUGCGGUGAAUACGUUCCCGGGCCUUGUACACACCGCCCGUCACACCAUGGGAGUUUGUUGCACCAGAAGCAGGUAGCUUAACCUUCGGGAGGGCGCUUGCCACGGUGUGGCCGAUGACUGGGGUGAAGUCGUAACAAGGUAGCCGUAUCGGAAGGUGCGGCUGGAUCACCUCCUUU
RNAcentral lists this ribosomal RNA (327 nucleotides) under Xanthomonas campestris pv. campestris. RNAcentral describes it as "bacterial SSU rRNA". It matches the Rfam family "Bacterial small subunit ribosomal RNA", at positions 1208 to 1533 of the family's 1533-position model. Lineage: Bacteria; Pseudomonadati; Pseudomonadota; Gammaproteobacteria; Lysobacterales; Lysobacteraceae. The record is from RNAcentral.